UUCCUGAACAAACCCGGAAUCCACACAAGAGUCCUAGGAAGAGGCAUAGGUAGUCGUAGAAACUUGGGCCUGUUCUGCUGGGCUGAGCCUCUGCACCAGCCCAUGAAGGACACUUAGCCGUGUUCUUGUUUUGACUCCAAAGAAGGAAAAAAACACCACUUGAUUCAACGUGCUUUGCGUAGGGCCUGAAAUCCUCAGCCUCGGUGUGUAUGAGAUUUGGAACUCAAGAUGAUGUUCAUGGUUUUGAUGGCUGUUUCCGAAAGCACGAGACCCCCCAGUGUCCUCCAUCCAUGGACUUAUGAGGGGUGGAAAUGAAAGAAACCGUUUCAAAUGCAGCUUGAAAUUAAAAAAAAAAAAAAAAUCACAUACUUUUCUGUGUAUGUCAUCUUUUCCCAGAUGGAUCCGAAAUGAGCCACAUCAUUUCCCUGGUGCAGAGUUUCUGAGAGAAUCAGAGAUCUGAGAGCUGGGAGGGGCUUCAAGUCUCGGGGUAACCGGCGCCGGAAGGAGAAAGGGAGCCUGUGAACCUGGAGGCCAAGAUGCCCACUUUUCUUCUUGCUCGGCAUUGCCACUCCCGGAGAGAAGCGGCUUCGAUCUGGGUGAUGCCUUUGAGCUGUGAGUAUUAUCACUUGCAAAGAGGGAAAAGAGAAAUAAUCUGAAUACUUGGGAUUCCAAAAGUUGUCUUGUACCAGGUAACACGAAGCUUCCUAUCUCCUCUGACCAGACGUAGGAUAAGAAGAAGAAAGAGCGAAGGGAGAAGAGGGAACAAGAAUUGGGCAAUCUGAAACGGAGCCGGUCACCUCUGAUGUUUGAUAGGAGACCUUGAUAUGCCAUUAGAAGCCAUUUUGCCUCUGUCCUCCAAGCUUGUGGCCUCAGCCUCAGCCCUUCUCUUGCAUAAUUAUAGAUUGUACAUAGGUCAAGUAGGGGGCCAGCCCCAGGCAGGGGCAUGGGAACUUGGGACUCAGUUUUCAGGCUGACAUCCCAGAUCCCCUGGAGGAGGAAGAGAAUGAAGUGAGUUAAUGAGGCAGGCAGGGGAGGAAAGGCUCCUUAACACUCACCCAAGGCACUCAGAAACAGCUUAAAACAUCGGACAAAGUUUCCAGCUCACAACAGGUUGUGUUGUGUUGUGUUGUGUUUUCAUUUUAUUGUGCUUCCCUUACGUCCUUAUUGUUCGUUGGGCACAAGCUUGCCUUGACUUUACAGUCUACAAAGGUUUACAACCAAGAAAAUAAAAGGAACAAUUUUAUAAGCAUUGUAAUGGAUCCUGGUACCUCGCUGGAGCCUGAAAUUAGGGGUUUGAAACUGUGUCUGUUUCCCUUCACCUCCAAAUGUUAACAAAGUAGGGAUAAUACAGGGGUUUCCUUCCCUGCUGGGACACAACCCCCUGAAAUGCCAUUAGGGUGAAAACACUAGUGUUUGUCAAGAGCGUAAAGCAGUAUUUUUUCAAAGCAUAAUUUUUGGAAUUCUAGCCCCAAGAAAUGUUCUGCUGGUAAAAGGAUUCGUGGUCGGUGCUUAUUAGCAAAGUACGGAAGCCGUGUUACUCAUAAGUCUCCCCGACAAAGGUCUGGUUGUCCUGAGUUGCCUUCCUGCAAUCUGUUCACACUCUGCUCUUACUCAAGUUCCACAUGCUCUGAAAUCCCAGGACGUUGCUCUCAGCAAUUUGCCAUUCUUCCUCAAGCAUUUGGGGGUCUUUACCGUGGACCAGGCUCCAGCCUGGGGCCCCUUGGGAGGAAUGGCCCACGCGAGAUGUGGUUCUAGCAGGGGACAGAUUUAGUGAGGUGGGGCAGUGGAGGUCUUCCGUAGGGUGGCCGGAUCAUUUACCUUCAUCACCGGGACUCACAGAGUGAAGGGGCACUGUUAAUUAUUAAUUGAUAAUUAUGCCAGGACAACAGGUAUAAAUGAGGACUGUCCUACAAUAGGACGUACGGGCAGUAGUUACAGGGGAAAGGUUUCAGUUCAAAAUGAAAAGGGGCUUUCUAACAGGGAGACUCCACUAACAGUCUGAGCUAUUUUAUGAAGUAGUGGGCACUUUGUCACUGCAGAUACGCAAGAGCGUAACUAACAACUCAGGCUCCAAGAUGUUGUAUAUGGGAGACACUGACGCACCAGGAAGACACUCCGGAUAGGAUGACCCCAGCUAACCUGGGGCCCCUGCUCUCCUUUGCCUUCUUUAUUGGUGAGAUUCAGUAGCUUAUCUCAUACACGAGGACCAAAUCCUGCCAAUCCGAUUUACACAUACAUCCACACUUGGAUACAAGUGAAAUUACAGCAGGACUGAAAGCUGAAAAACUUGCUGUUUUAAUGUAAUUAAUAUUCACUGGUGCCUAUGCAUAAUGUAAACACCUUUUUGUUUAAAAUGAGAUUGGAGGGGCGCCUGGGUGGCUCCGUCCGUUGAGCGUCCGACUUCGGCUCGGGUCAUGAUCUCACUGUUCGUGGGUUUAAGCCCUGCGUCGGGCUCUGUGCUGACAGCUCGGAGCCUGGAGCCUGUUUCAGAUUCUGUGUCUCCCUUUCUGUCUCUGCCCCUCCCCUGCUCGUUCUCUGUCUCUGUCUC
Acinonyx jubatus (cheetah) is the source of this 2548-nucleotide long non-coding RNA. RefSeq lists it as uncharacterized. The transcript has 2 exons. Lineage: Eukaryota; Metazoa; Chordata; Mammalia; Carnivora; Felidae. The record is from RefSeq and is a predicted model, not a curated record.